Molecule: small RNA, 1035 nt
Filed under: Histoplasma ohiense
Lineage: Eukaryota; Fungi; Ascomycota; Eurotiomycetes; Onygenales; Ajellomycetaceae
Description: hypothetical lncRNA
Source: RNAcentral
CCCACAGGUUAUAGCCCAGAUCGCUUGUUUUAUUUAUAGAUAUAAGCUUUGAUUGCAGGAAAAGAUUAAAGAUUGAUUGAUAUAGAGAGGAGAAUGCCUCCUAGAACUCAAGCUACCAUGGGGAUAAAUACCCCAGCUAGCAAUGAUGAUAUUGAAUACAAACCUACUACUACCCCUGGGCCACCGGGCCCAACAACAAUUGAUACCUUGAUACAAGAUGAAUGUCUGAUGUGAUGGGUUAGCACCUGUUAGUAGUCAACUUACGCAACCAAUCCCAUACUGCUCCAUGCUCGCGCGCUCACGAGUGCCUACAAACACUCCCCUCCUCGCGAUUCCGCUCCACAUUCGCAUAGUCCCUAAUGAUUCCUCUGUGUAACCCUUAAUGCUCUUCUGCUCUGCGCCCCACCUUGGCGCGACCUCUAAUAUUCUUCCGUUCCGAUUCCCCUUCUAUAAGAACCUCUUCGUACGACCCUUUCUUCUAAUCUCUUUUCUCUUUCCUUUCUUAAUCAAUUUGUAAUCUGUAAUUAGGAUAGUGCUUAGUCUGUUAAUCGGUAGUACGCCCGUUACAUCUGAAGAGAAUGAAUGAAUAUUUGAACAGAAGAAUGGGAAAAUCCUUACAAAAAUCAGUUGAAAACUCUGAUUCUCUGUCAAGAAGAGAUCAAGAGAAUAUCAAAUAAGAGAAGAAUGAGAUGAAACUGACUAUACAAGCCACUCAGCUGCCACUGUUACUACUCCUCCAUCUACUGAAGAAUUCUCUGAAGAAUCAACUAUCAAAAAACUCUCUGCAAGAACCACCAAAGAAUCCUCUAUGAGAAUCAUCAAAGAACCCUCUAAGAAUCAUCAUGAUAAGAUUGAUCAUUAAGAAUACCACCACCACCACCACUGCCAUCAGAGAAUCUCUCAAACGUCAAUACUACUACCACAAACUGAAGCCUCACAAAUGCUGAAAGGGUGAAGGAUAGAAGGAUAGAUAGAUUUGAUUUCAUUUGAUUUGAUUUGAUUUAUUUGAUUUCAUGUAUAAUAGGAUUUCUAGAU